This 1473-nucleotide ribosomal RNA is filed under the name metagenome. Its description in RNAcentral is "bacterial SSU rRNA". It matches the Rfam family "Bacterial small subunit ribosomal RNA". The record is from RNAcentral.
AGAGUUUGAUCCUGGCUCAGGAUGAACGCUGGCGGCGUGCCUAAUACAUGCAAGUCGAACGGUCUACGCAAGUAGAUAGUGGCGAACGGGUGAGUAACGCGUUGGUGACCUGCCCCUUAGAGAGGGAUAACAGCUCGAAGGAGCUGCUAAUACCGCAUAAGAUCCCGAAGUUUAGAAGUUUGGGAUGAAAGCCGAAAGGCACUGAGGGAGGGACCUGCGUCCCAUCAGCUAGUUGGUGAGGUAACGGCCCACCAAGGCGAUGACGGGUAGGGGACCUGAGAGGGUGGCCCCCCACAAUGGAACUGAAACACGGUCCAUACACCUACGGGUGGCAGCAGUAGGGAAUAUUGGGAAUGGGCGAAAGCCUGACCCAGCAACGCCGCGUGAGUGAUGAAGGCCUUCGGGUUGUAAAACUUUUUUUACGGGGACGAGGAAGGACGGUACCCGUAGAAUAAGUCUCGGCUAACUACGUGCCAGCAGCCGCGGUAACACGUAGGAGACAAGCGUUAUCCGGAUUUACUGGGUGUAAAGCGCGUGCAGGCGGUCCAAUAAGUUGGAUGUGAAAGCUCCUGGCUUAACUGGGAGAGGUCGUACAAGACUGUUGGACUAGAGGAUGACAGAGGGGAGUGGAAUUCUGAGUGUAGCGGUAAAAUGCAUAGAUAUUCGGAAGAACACCAGUGGCGAAGGCGGCUCUCUGGGUCAUAUCUGACGCUCAGACGCGAAAGCUAGGGUAGCAAACGGGAUUAGAGACCCCGGUAGUCCUAGCCGUAAACGAUGUGAACUUGGCGUUGGUGGGUUCAAAUCCAUCAGUGCCGAAGCAAACGCGAUAAGUUCACCACCUGGGGACUACGGCCGCAAGGUUAAAACUCAAAGGAAUUGACGGGGGCCCGCACAAGCAGCGGAGCGUGUGGUUUAAUUCGAUAUUACACGAAGAACCUUACCAGGGUUUGACAUGCAAGUGGUAGAGAAGCGAAAGUGGAUCGACCCUUCGGGGAGCUUGCACAGGUGUUGCAUGGCUGUCGUCAGCUCGUGUCGUGAGAUGUUCGGUUAAGUCCGCUAACGAGCGCAACCCACGUCGCGUGUUACAAGUGUCACGCGAUACUGCCGGUCUUAAGCCGGAGGAAGGUUGGAUGACGUCAAGUCAGCAUGACCUUUAUGUCCUGGGCUACACACACGCUACAAUGGCCAGUACAACGGGUAGCGAAGCCGCGAGGCGGAGCCAAUCCACAAAGCUGGUCUCAGUUCAGAUUACAGGCUGCAACCCGCCUGUAUGAAGCUGGAGUUGCUAGUAACCGCAGGUCAGCUAUACUGCGGUGAAUACGUUCCCGGGCCUUGUACACACCGCCCGUCACGUCAUGGGAGCUGGUAACACCUGAAGCUGGUAUCCUAACCGCAAGGAGGGAGCCAUCGAGGGUGGGGCUGGUGACUGGGACGAAGUCGUAACAAGGUAGGAGUACCGGAAGGUGCGCCUGG